CCGUGGUCUGUGCGCAUGCGCAAGAAACGCCCACUGAAUUUCCUACUUUCAUUUUUGAAAAAUCUUCUAUUUGGAGAUAGAUUUGUACGCAUCUAUUUACAUUUUAUCUGCGAAAGAAAAUACACUUGCUCAGUUGCUGAAGUGGCUCUCUUUCUCGUCCUUAAGAGCACACAUAACUUCUAAAACGUAAAAAAAACAUGUGAAAGAUUGCUCUUCUACAGUGGACCUUGAUAAAUUCUGAUGGAAAGGAAGUAAUACAAAGGUACAAAUCAAGAAGAAAACUGCUUCUCAUUUUGAUUAUUCAUUUUAAUCAUGCACAACUUGCCAGAAUAUUCAUCAUAUUUGGAAGAAGAAGAAGCUAUGUCAUGAAAAAACUGCUUCAAAUACAGUUGGUGUAUCUAGAGGAAAGAAAUGGAUUGAUUCAGAGAUACAAAACAGGAUUUUAAAAGGACAAAGAUGUAAUGGGUGAAAAUGGAAGAAAAGAAAAAGAAAUACCAAACAAGAUUUUCCAGAGAUUUACAGGUCAUUGGUGAAAAUUGAAGAAAAGAUAAAUGCAAUAACAAAAAUAGUUAAAUGAUUUACAACCAAGCAGCACUCAGCAAUAGUGAUGAUGGUUAAACAAGAUUUAGUGCCUACCACACAGUUAAGAAAGCAUGAGAGACAAGAAUGUCUACAGAACAGAGGAGACUAUUUUUACUGCACUUAGAUUUGUGUUUUAGUUAUAUUCAAUUAGUAUUAAAGAGCUACGUACAAUAAAUCAUGUUAUAUUAUGUU
This is a long non-coding RNA of Mytilus trossulus (common blue mussel), 774 nucleotides long. RefSeq lists it as uncharacterized. The record is from RefSeq and is a predicted model, not a curated record. Lineage: Eukaryota; Metazoa; Mollusca; Bivalvia; Mytilida; Mytilidae. The transcript is spliced from 5 exons.